Molecule: long non-coding RNA, 535 nt
Organism: Entelurus aequoreus (snake pipefish)
Lineage: Eukaryota; Metazoa; Chordata; Actinopteri; Syngnathiformes; Syngnathidae
Exons: 3
Source: RefSeq, a predicted model, not a curated record
CAGCCACAUCUGUGCAUUCCUUUCCAAUGGUGCCAUGAUGGAGAGAGGAAGCUUACACCACCAACUGACUGACCAAAGGCCGCACCCUGUUUGUCUGCAUGAAACCUGCUCUCGGUCACUGGCGUACGUUUGAGUGACAGGAAGAAAAGCUCUGAAAAGCUAUUGCUGAUGAUACACACAUACCAACAGGCCAUCAGUUGGAGUGGAUCUCCUGGCCCACAGUGCACCUGUACACAUCUCCUUUCCUGUUAUUGGGAGGUCCAUCCCAGGGAGCGCCAACCAGCAUUCUGCACCAAGGAGGAGUCAUGAAAUUGGUUACCGUCUCCCGGAAGAUCAACACGUUUCCGUCUGUAACUUACGAUUUCUCUCCCUCUGUUUCAAGCUGCAACACGGAGAAGCCAAAGAGGGAGUCAUCCGGGCCGCUAAAUAUGCGCGGAUGCUUGACGUCGAUGUUGAAGCACUGACACAAGCCUGGAGAAGCAAGAAAGAGUGACGAUUAUACUGAUCACUUAUAAAAUACUUAUAUGAGUAUUCA